This 68-nucleotide transfer RNA is filed under the name Dendrobates tinctorius (dyeing poison frog). RNAcentral's name for it is "tRNA-Tyr". It matches the Rfam family "tRNA". Rfam says of the family: Transfer RNA (tRNA) molecules are approximately 80 nucleotides in length. Their secondary structure includes four short double-helical elements and three loops (D, anti-codon, and T loops). Lineage: Eukaryota; Metazoa; Chordata; Amphibia; Anura; Dendrobatidae. The record is from RNAcentral.
GGUAAGAUGGCCGAGAGAGGCAGUGGGUUGUAGCCCCAAAGACAGAGGUUCAAGUCCUCUUUUUACCA